This 28-nucleotide unclassified non-coding RNA is filed under the name Mus musculus (house mouse). Its description in RNAcentral is "oocyte_clustered_small_RNA640". The record is from RNAcentral. Lineage: Eukaryota; Metazoa; Chordata; Mammalia; Rodentia; Muridae.
UGGCCAGCACAACACACUGGUGAGCCUA